AAUCUUUCAUUAUCCUUUUCCCUCAGUCAGAAUUAUCAAUCACAUACAAACAAGCAAAACGAUAAUUUAUGCCAAACAGAUUACAUACAGCAUCAAUAUCCCGGUCAUUCAAUCCAUAAUCAAUAAAACAGUAGAAUAUGCACACGAAACUAUAAAAUGAAAACAUCAAAUCUCAUACUGCAUUUAAAACUGUAAACAGGCCAAAUAACAGUUAACCGACAAACACACUAGACUCGGGCUCCAUUAGCGACCUUAAGCAAUUUCACACAUUCGUUGAUUCAUGAAAUACCGUUUUAUCAUUUAUUGAACUUUAAAACCGUGAUAGGAAAUAGGGUGAGGGGUCUUUACUCGUUUCGGGUUCCGAACACGGCUUCACAGUGCGUUUGCAGGCUGUCCCUAAUUUUCCCUGAAUUUUUCUCGGGGAACUGAAACGCACUACUGGUACCUGCACAUGUUCCAAAAAAUCCCAAAUUAGGCCCAGGGCCCCUUUCGGCCAAUAUCGCAACUCCGGCACGGCGGCUCCGCCGUGCUCCGGUGACGGCGCCGCCGCUUGCGGCGGCGGUUUGCCUCGGGUUGGCCGUUUUCGGCCGUUUUCGGCCGAAUUUGGCCACACUUGCAUUGGUUCCUGCGAUAAAACAACCCUACGGCCCUCGGGGGGCCAAAAAUUUACGGAAACGGAAAAUCGAAGCUUACCGGCGGCAGUGCUCUCGGGUGCGACGGCUCUCCGGUGAAGUUCGUGUUUUGGUGAUUCGGCUCCGAUCAACCUGUAGAGAAAAGAAUGGUAUCACGGUGAUAUAAAAAUUGCAUUAAACGGAGGCCGGGAAGGGCCUCAUCGGAGGCAAAAACCGAGAAGGGACGCAGCGGUGCUGCUGGCUUUCGGCCGUGUUUUUCGGCCGUUUGGCCGGGAUUUUGGCUCCGAUUUGGCCACUGGGGAAAUCACCGUGGAAAAACGAGUCGGGGGUAUGAAAUUUACCUCGAUCGGGGGUCGAAAAUCCCUCCGGUGCGGCGGCGGGUGGCGGCGGCCGGCUUCUGGUUCGUCUUCUCCGGCGAGGGCAGGCGGCUAGGGUUUGGGGUCUGGUGUGGGGGUCUUAUUUAUACCCUUUUGCCUUUUGAUCUCAGCCGUCCAUUUUGUUUUAAUCUGAGCCGUCCGUUUUUGAUUAAAUCUGGGCCGUCCGUGCGAUUAAAUCUGGGCCGUCCGUGCGUGCGAUUGAUCUGGGCCAUCCGAUCGCGCGCACGCGGAUCGCCAACGUUGCCCGUCCCCGAUCGACGUGGUUUUGCCACGUGGCAGGUCCUGGUUGGCCAGGCCUGCUGACUGAGUCUGCUGACGUGGCACGAGCGUUUUUUUUUUUUUUUUUUUUCCCCGGGCGCUACAACUCUCCCCCCCCUUAAAGAAAUUUGGUCCCCAAAUUUGCCUCGUUACUCUUGAUCGAACAGAUGGGGAUAUUGGGCCCUAAAUUCUGAUUCCAG
This 1467-nucleotide long non-coding RNA is filed under the name Carica papaya (papaya). Its description in RNAcentral is "long non-coding RNA (CPAP_LNC013995)". The record is from RNAcentral. Lineage: Eukaryota; Viridiplantae; Streptophyta; Magnoliopsida; Brassicales; Caricaceae.